RNAcentral lists this long non-coding RNA (521 nucleotides) under Theobroma cacao (cacao). RNAcentral's name for it is "long non-coding RNA (TCAC_LNC003693)". Lineage: Eukaryota; Viridiplantae; Streptophyta; Magnoliopsida; Malvales; Malvaceae. The record is from RNAcentral.
CAUUUCAAGUUCGAGAUAGCCGGUAGAUAGCCGAUUGCAUCAAGGACUUCAGUUAGCCUUGCAUUGUCAAAAUUAUAAGUUCACAGACUCGCAUCUUAUUGGUUAGUUGGGAGCCCACGUGUCAUUGUAAAAGUAAUUUUAUACUUUAGUUAUUUGAUUUAAAGUAUGUAUGAACAUAUUUAGCUUUUACACCAUGUUUUUGGCAGGUUUUGGUGUUUUCGAAGAAAAAUGAUGAAAAUGCCCCUGUGAGCCAGAAAAUAAUAUUUUAUUAUUUUGAUUUAGAAAAAACUUAUGAUUUCUUAAAAUGCGAGAUUUAAUAACUGUCGCUCACCGGAGAAAUGAGGAAGCUGAUGCUAAGCCUUGCGGGGUUUUGAUCGACAUUCAGGGUAAUGAGUGCCAAUCGGGACGUCACGGCGGUUGUCACGGGCCCGAUGAGGAGUUUCGGGUCGUGACACUUUUACACUAAGUUUUCUUAUUUUUUUACUUUCUUGCUAUUAUUCUUAUUUUUAUUUUGAUUUAUU